This 240-nucleotide unclassified non-coding RNA is filed under the name Cortinarius sp. Its description in RNAcentral is "partial contains small subunit ribosomal RNA, internal transcribed spacer 1, and 5.8S ribosomal RNA". The stretch from base 1 to 46 matches the Rfam family "Eukaryotic small subunit ribosomal RNA", at positions 1786 to 1831 of the family's 1831-position model. The record is from RNAcentral. Lineage: Eukaryota; Fungi; Basidiomycota; Agaricomycetes; Agaricales; Cortinariaceae.
AAGUCGUAACAAGGUUUCCGUAGGUGAACCUGCGGAAGGAUCAUUAUUGAAAUAAACCUGAUGGGUUGUUGCUGGCUCUCCAGGGAGCAUGUGCACACCUUGUCAUCUUUAUAUCUCCACCUGUGCACUUUUUGUAGACCUUCUCAGGUCUAUGUUGCUUCAUUUUACCCCAAUGUAUGUCAAUAGAAUGUUGUGCCUAUGUAAUAUAUACAACUUUCAGCAACGGAUCUCUUGGCUCUC